GGAUCAAUGAAGAAGCUUAGAAAAAGAUACUUCGUCGAAAUGUGUGAAAAAUUCCUAACAUAACCUACAAAGCCAAAAGAUCC
Frieseomelitta varia is the source of this 83-nucleotide small nucleolar RNA. RefSeq annotates it as small nucleolar RNA SNORD116. The transcript has a single exon. NCBI's taxonomy places the organism in Eukaryota, Metazoa, Arthropoda, Insecta, Hymenoptera, Apidae. The record is from RefSeq and is a predicted model, not a curated record.